UACGUAGGGGGCAAGCGUUGUCCGGAAUUAUUGGGCGUAAAGAGCUCGUAGGCGGUUUAGCAAGUCGGGUGUGAAAACUCCGGGCUCAACCCGGAGACGCCACUCGAUACUGCUAUGACUUGAGUCCGGUAGGGGAGUGCGGAAUUCCUGGUGUAGCGGUGAAAUGCGCAGAUAUCAGGAGGAACACCGGUGGCGAAGGCGGCACUCUGGGCCGGUACUGACGCUGAGGAGCGAAAGCGUGGGGAGCGAACAGG
Molecule: ribosomal RNA, 254 nt
Filed under: uncultured bacterium
Lineage: Bacteria
Description: partial 16S ribosomal RNA
Rfam family: Bacterial small subunit ribosomal RNA
Source: RNAcentral